UACGGAGGAUCCGAGCGUUAUCCGGAUUUAUUGGGUUUAAAGGGAGCGUAGGUGGAUUGUUAAGUCAGAUGUGAAAACUAUGGGCUCAACCGAUAGAGUGCAUUUGAAACUGCAGUUCUUGAGUGAUGGAGAGGCAGGCGGAAUUCCCGGUGUAGCGGUGGAAUGCGUAGAUAUCGGGAGGAACACCAGUGGCGAAGGCGGCCUGCUGGACAUUAACUGACGCUGAGGCGCGAAAGCGUGGGGAGCAAACAGG
Molecule: ribosomal RNA, 253 nt
Filed under: uncultured Oscillospiraceae bacterium
Lineage: Bacteria; Bacillati; Bacillota; Clostridia; Eubacteriales; Oscillospiraceae
Description: partial 16S ribosomal RNA
Rfam family: Bacterial small subunit ribosomal RNA
Source: RNAcentral